CCCACCCCCAGUACUGGGGGACUCCGGCAGGGCUGAGAGGACUGGGCGCCGCCAUCUUGUGGCUAUGGGCACUGCCAUCUUUGUGACGGAGUGACGGUAUUGCUUUGGGUAAAAAUCAGAGAACGUGUUUACGAGUUUAGGUUCACCAUUUAAACUCCUGAUUACUUUGGCAAAUAUUUACGGAGGAUCAACCAAGUCUAAGGCACUUGGAAACUGACAUCAGCAUGGAUGCCGUAUGUGUGCUGUCACUAUGGAGCUUUUCAGUUUUGUACUGCACCAUCUUGGACUUCUCUGCAACGAAUACAGCUCUGAGAGCAACAGAAACAACCCAGGUCCUACUGGUCAGUGGGUGAAGUCCGGAUAUAUCUGCCUACAGGCGCCAAAGAGGCCAGAGGAACAAGACAGACGACCAAGUUCAACAAAAAACAACACAAGGUUCUUAUCAAGUUCUUUGAAAAGGACUGAUACCCUGAUAUCACUGUCCAUGAAGAACUAGCCAAACAAAUCCAGAUUCCUGAGCCAAGAAUCCAGAGCCUUACUGGUACCUGGCUGGAAGCAUGAAGCAGCUACCCUAAGCCUUGUGUAUGGGACUAUUACAGGUGCCAGCUCAGAUAUUACCUAAGACAAACUCCCAGCCUGUGGGUAGGUAAUAAAGUUGUUGAAUUAUU
Eptesicus fuscus (big brown bat) is the source of this 668-nucleotide long non-coding RNA. RefSeq lists it as uncharacterized. The transcript has 4 exons. The record is from RefSeq and is a predicted model, not a curated record. NCBI's taxonomy places the organism in Eukaryota, Metazoa, Chordata, Mammalia, Chiroptera, Vespertilionidae.